GGCCGAUAAUAAGCAAUAAAUUGUAAAUUUAUGAAUGAAGUUAAUUUCUUUUACCA
RNAcentral lists this transfer RNA (56 nucleotides) under Spondylis buprestoides. RNAcentral's name for it is "tRNA-Tyr". The record is from RNAcentral. Lineage: Eukaryota; Metazoa; Arthropoda; Insecta; Coleoptera; Cerambycidae.